Long non-coding RNA from Bactrocera neohumeralis, 708 nucleotides. RefSeq lists it as uncharacterized. The transcript is spliced from 2 exons. Lineage: Eukaryota; Metazoa; Arthropoda; Insecta; Diptera; Tephritidae. The record is from RefSeq and is a predicted model, not a curated record.
UAGAAAAUUUGGAAUAAAAAGCACCAUAGGAGCAAUCGACUGCACGUAUAUUGCUAUCAUUGCUCCACCAUCAAAUAAUGUCGAACGUCCUCUUAAUUUAUAUUUAAAUAGAAAAGGAUUCUACAGUAUCAAUGUUGAAGCAGUUUGCGAUCACCGAUUAUGUUUUACAUUUGUAAAUGCUAAAUUUCCGGGUGCAACACAUUACUCUGGAAUUUGGGCAACUUCUGAAUUAAUACGUCUGAGCAACAACGGAGAGAAUCUUGGCUUCUUGGCGAUCAAGGUUAUCCUCUAGAACCAUGCGGGCUUUUAACACCAGUGGGAACACCUAAUACCCAUAAAGAGCAAAAAUACAACAAAUUACAUGGUUCUGCAAGAAACUGCAUAGAGAGAGCAUUUGGUGUUUUAAAAUCUCGCUUCAGAUGUUUGUUGAAGCACCGAGUUCUACAUUAUUCACACGAAACUUCCGCUAAUAUAAUGACGAAAGCAGGCAUUACGUUCAACGAAAUAGAUGACGGGGUUGCAGAAGACUUUGAUUCUCCAAUUAAUGAUUAUAACUCUUCACAGUACAUGCGCGAAGGUGAAAGAACAAGAUCAAGAUAUAUAUCAACUCUUUAGUUAUAUACAUAUAUACAGAGUCUAAUCCAUAUACUUAUGUACAUAUAUAAAUGUUCUCACAAUUCGACCUUCGAAAUACACUACUUACUUCCA